Non-coding RNA from Mus caroli (Ryukyu mouse), 375 nucleotides. Lineage: Eukaryota; Metazoa; Chordata; Mammalia; Rodentia; Muridae. The record is from RefSeq and is a predicted model, not a curated record.
GUUCAGCCAUCAAAACCUGACUGGACAAAAGAAACCAUCAGCUUGUAGGGCGGUGAGGCAGACUGGAAGCUCCUGGGAGAUCGUUUCCCUCAUGGAAGAUCACAGGAAUGUAAAAGGGCAAGCAGAAAACCGGAUGUGUCUUUCAUAGCUUCCCCUGGACUAAGUGUAUUGUGAAUUCCAGCACAUUCCGUGGUCCCAAUUGAGUCAUCACACCCCACCCAGGGCCGCCUGCGAAGCGCAUUCCCUGGCCCACUCUAUUGAACCACUAGUUCCCACAGCAGCAAAGAAUGGAGAACAGUCAUCUAAUCUACCACAGAAACCCAGUAGAAUAAAACAAUAUGAUGCAGAAGUAAAAACUUCCCAGGACCUGGAAUA